AUUGAACGCUGGCGGCAGGCUUAACACAUGCAAGUCGAGCGAGCGGCGGACGGGUGAGUAAUGUCUGGGAAACUGCCUGAUGGAGGGGGAUAACUACUGGAAACGGUAGCUAAUACCGCAUACCAUCAGAUGUGCCCAGAUGGGAUUAGCUAGUAGGUGGGGUAAUGGCUCACCUAGGCGACGAUCCCUAGCUGGUCUGAGAGGAUGACAAGCCAAACUGGAACGGAGACACGGUCCAGAGUCCUACGGGAGGCAGCAGUGGGGAAUAUUGCACAAGGGGUGCAAGCCGGAUGCAGCUAUACAGCGUGUGUGAAGAAGGCCUUAGGGGUGUAAAGCACUUUCAGCGAGGAGGCGUUACGCGGAGAAGAAGCACCGGCUAACUCCGUGCCAGCAGCCGCGGUAAUAC
RNAcentral lists this ribosomal RNA (406 nucleotides) under uncultured bacterium. RNAcentral describes it as "partial 16S ribosomal RNA". It matches the Rfam family "Bacterial small subunit ribosomal RNA", at positions 29 to 526 of the family's 1533-position model. The record is from RNAcentral.